This 86-nucleotide transfer RNA is filed under the name Candidatus Aenigmatarchaeota archaeon. RNAcentral's name for it is "tRNA-Leu". It matches the Rfam family "tRNA". From Rfam's summary of the family: Transfer RNA (tRNA) molecules are approximately 80 nucleotides in length. Their secondary structure includes four short double-helical elements and three loops (D, anti-codon, and T loops). Further hydrogen bonds mediate the characteristic L-shaped molecular structure. tRNAs have two regions of fundamental functional importance: the anti-codon, which is responsible for specific mRNA codon recognition, and the 3' end, to which the tRNAs corresponding amino acid is attached (by aminoacyl-tRNA synthetases). tRNAs cope with the degeneracy of the genetic code in two manners: having more than one tRNA (with a specific anti-codon) for a particular amino acid; and 'wobble' base-pairing, i.e. permitting non-standard base-pairing at the 3rd anti-codon position. RNAcentral also lists the same sequence under 1 other name. Lineage: Archaea; Nanobdellati; Candidatus Aenigmatarchaeota. The record is from RNAcentral.
GCGGAGGUAGCCAAGUCUGGUCUAAGGCGCAGGACUUAAGAUCCUGUGGGUUAGUCCCUUCGUCGGUUCAAAUCCGGCCCUCCGCA